Molecule: non-coding RNA, 98 nt
Organism: Podospora conica
Lineage: Eukaryota; Fungi; Ascomycota; Sordariomycetes; Sordariales; Podosporaceae
Source: the annotation of a GenBank genome assembly
GGACCGGUAGCUCAGUGGUAGAGCAACCGGCUGCAGUAUAGUUACCAACUUGGUAGCUUGCUUCCGGUAGGUCUCGUGUUCAACUCACGAUCGGUCCU